AGUUCCUACGGGACGCAGCAGUGAGGAAUAUUGGUCAAUGGCCGGAAGGCUGAACCAGCCAAGCCGCGUGAGGGAGGAAGGCGCAGAGCGUCGCAGACCUCUUUUGCCGGGGGACAAAAGGCCGGACUCGUCCGGUCCUGAGGGUACCCGGAGAAAAAGCAUCGGCUAACUCCGUGCCAGCAGCCGCGGUAAUACGUAUGGGGCAAGCGUUAUCCGGAUUUACUGGGUGUAAAGGGAGCGUAGGCGGCCUGGCAAGCCUGAUGUGAAAUACCGGGGCCCAACCCCGGGGCUGCAUUGGGAACUGC
Molecule: ribosomal RNA, 305 nt
Filed under: uncultured bacterium
Lineage: Bacteria
Description: bacterial SSU rRNA
Rfam family: Bacterial small subunit ribosomal RNA
Source: RNAcentral